This is a small nuclear RNA of Pongo abelii (Sumatran orangutan), 105 nucleotides long. NCBI's taxonomy places the organism in Eukaryota, Metazoa, Chordata, Mammalia, Primates, Hominidae. The record is from Ensembl.
GCUUGCUUCAGCAACACAUAUACUACAAUUGGAAGGAUACAGAGAAGAUUAGCAUGGCCCCAGCACAAGAAUGACAUCCAAAUUCGUGAAGCUUUCCAUAUUUAA